CCUACGGGAGGCAGCAGUGAGGAAUUUUCGGCAAUGGGGGCAACCCUGACCGAGCAACGCCGCGUGCAGGAUGACAGUCUUCGGAUUGUAAACUGCUUUUCUCGGGGACGAGUAAGGACGGUACCGGAGGAAGAAGCCCCGGCUAACUACGUGCCAGCAGCCGCGGUAAUACGUAGGGGGCGAGCGUUGUCCGGAGUUACUGGGCGUAAAGGGCACGCAGGCGGUCUGAUAAGUUCGGAGUGACAAUCCUCGGCUUAACUGAGGAGGGUCUUCGAAGACUGUCCGACUUUAGGGCUCACGAGGGACACGGAAUUCCGGGUGGAGUGGUGAAAUGCGUAGAUAUCCGGAGGAACACCAAAGGCGAAGGCAGUGUCCUGGGGAGUACCUGACGCUCAGGUGCGAAAGCUAUGGGAGCGAACGGGAUUAGAUACCCCGGUAGUC
RNAcentral lists this ribosomal RNA (441 nucleotides) under uncultured bacterium. RNAcentral describes it as "bacterial SSU rRNA". It matches the Rfam family "Bacterial small subunit ribosomal RNA", at positions 338 to 795 of the family's 1533-position model. The record is from RNAcentral.